Molecule: unclassified non-coding RNA, 300 nt
Organism: Macaca fascicularis (crab-eating macaque)
Lineage: Eukaryota; Metazoa; Chordata; Mammalia; Primates; Cercopithecidae
Rfam family: Metazoan signal recognition particle RNA
About the family: The signal recognition particle (SRP) is a universally conserved ribonucleoprotein. It is involved in the co-translational targeting of proteins to membranes.
Source: Ensembl
GCCAGGUGCAGUGGGGCAUUGCUGUAGUCCCAGCCACUCAGGAGGCUGAGGCAGGAGGAUCACUUGACCCAGGAGUUCUGGGCUAUAGUGCGCUGCACCAAUCAAGUGUCUACACUAAGUUCAGCAUCAGUAUGGUGACCUCUUGAGAGCAGGGGACCACCAGGUUGCCUAAAGAGAGGUGAACUGGCCCAGGUCACAAAUGGAGCAGGUCAAGACUCCUGUGCUGAUAGUAGUAGUGAAAUCGUGCCAAUGAACAGCCACUGCACUUCAGCCUGGGCAACAUAGUGAGACCUGUCUCUG